Molecule: non-coding RNA, 163 nt
Filed under: bovine gut metagenome
Description: Lysine riboswitch
Rfam family: Lysine riboswitch aptamer
About the family: Riboswitches are metabolite binding domains within certain messenger RNAs that serve as precision sensors for their corresponding targets. Allosteric rearrangement of mRNA structure is mediated by ligand binding, and this results in modulation of gene expression. This family includes riboswitches that sense lysine in a number of genes involved in lysine metabolism, including lysC.
Source: RNAcentral
UUGUGUAGAGGUCGCGGUUAAAAAGAGUAUAAUUCUGGAUAACUUGAAUUAGAAGAAGGAAUUAAAAAGGGUUAACUGCCGAAGGGUGUAUUAGUUCAAGAUUAUACCCCCUGGGUGUAUAGAUAAUAUCUAUAUAACUGUCAUCGAAAGAUGGGGAGCUACA